AAAGAUUUAGUUAAAUUAUAACAUUAGAAUGUCAAACUAAAAUUAUCUUAUGAUAAUCUUUU
RNAcentral lists this transfer RNA (62 nucleotides) under Anomolachesilla palaciosi. RNAcentral describes it as "tRNA-Asp". Lineage: Eukaryota; Metazoa; Arthropoda; Insecta; Psocodea; Lachesillidae. The record is from RNAcentral.